CCGGCGACCGGCGCACGGGUGAGUAACACGUAUGGAACCUGCCCGCAGCAGGGGGAUAAGCGGAAGAAAUUCCGUCUAACACCGCGUAACAACGUUGGGAGGCAUCUCCCGAUGUUUAAAGAUUUAUCGGCUGCGGAUGGCCAUGCGGCGCAUUAGCUGGUCGGCGGGGUAACGGCCCACCGAGGCGACGAUGCGUAGGGGUUCUGAGAGGAAGGUCCCCCACACUGGUACUGAGACACGGACCAGACUCCUACGGAAGGCAGCAG
RNAcentral lists this ribosomal RNA (266 nucleotides) under uncultured bacterium. RNAcentral describes it as "partial 16S ribosomal RNA". It matches the Rfam family "Bacterial small subunit ribosomal RNA", at positions 88 to 354 of the family's 1533-position model. The record is from RNAcentral.